Molecule: ribosomal RNA, 423 nt
Filed under: uncultured bacterium
Lineage: Bacteria
Description: bacterial SSU rRNA
Rfam family: Bacterial small subunit ribosomal RNA
Source: RNAcentral
AACGAACGCUGGCGGCAGGCCUAACACAUGCAAGUCGAACGAGAUCUUCGGAUCUAGUGGCGGACGGGUGAGUAACGCGUGGGAACGUGCCCUUCUCUACGGAAUAGUCCCGGGAAACUGGGUUUAAUACCGUAUACGCCCUUCGGGGGAAAGAAUUUCGGGGAAGGAUCGGCCCGCGUUGGAUUAGGUAGUUGGUGGGGUAAUGGCCUACCGAAGCCGACGAUCCAUAGCUGGUUUGAGAGGAUGAUCAGCCACAUCCUACGGAGGCAGCAGUGGGGAAUCUUAGACAAUGGGGCAACCCUGAUCUAGCCAUGCCGCGUGAGUGACGAAGGCCCUAGGGUCGUAAAGCUCUUUCGCCAGGGAUGAUAAUGACAGUACCUGGUAAAGAAACCCGGCUAACUCCGUGCCAGCAGCCGCGGUAAU